CCUACGGGUGGCAGCAGUAGGGAAUUUUGCGCAAUGGGGGAAACCCUGACGCAGCAACACCGCGUGAAUGUUAAGCCCUUCGGGGUGUAAAGUUCUGUCAAUAGGGACGAAUUUUAACUGUACCUAUAAAGGAAGCACCGGCUAACUCCGUGCCAGCAGCCGCGGUAAUACGGGGGGUGCAAGCGUUGUCCGGAAUCAUUGGGCGUAAAGCGUUCGUAGGCGGUGCAGCAAGUCCGAUGUGAAAGGUCGGGGCCCAACCCCGGGACUGCAUUGGAAACUGUUGAACUGGAGUACAGGAGAGGUAAGCGGAAUUCCUAGUGUAGCGGUGAAAUGCGUAGAUAUUAGGAGGAACACCAGUGGCGAAGGCGGCUUACUGGACUGUAACUGACGUUGAGGCUCGAAAGCGUGGGGAGCAAACAGGAUUAGAUACCCUUGUAGUC
This 440-nucleotide ribosomal RNA is filed under the name uncultured bacterium. RNAcentral's name for it is "partial 16S ribosomal RNA". It matches the Rfam family "Bacterial small subunit ribosomal RNA", at positions 338 to 795 of the family's 1533-position model. The record is from RNAcentral.